AGAAUCAACGCUGGCGGCGUGCCUAACACAUGCAAGUCGCACGAGAAAGGGUAGCAAUACCUGAGUAAAGUGGCGCACGGGUGAGUAACACGUGACUAAUCUACCCUCGAGUGGGGAAUAAACUGAGAGAAAUCUUAGCUAAUACCGCAUAACACUUACGAGUCAAAGCAGCAAUGCGCUUGGGGAGGAGGUCGCGGCCGAUUAGCUAGUUGGCGGGGUAAUGGCCCACCAAGGCGAUGAUCGGUA
This 246-nucleotide ribosomal RNA is filed under the name uncultured bacterium. Its description in RNAcentral is "partial small subunit ribosomal RNA". It matches the Rfam family "Bacterial small subunit ribosomal RNA", at positions 26 to 285 of the family's 1533-position model. The record is from RNAcentral.